GGAUGAAUAUUGCGCAAUGGAGGAAACUCUGACGCAGCGACGCCGCGUGAAGGAUGAAGGCCCUCUGGGUCGUAAACUUCUGUAGAGAGGGAAGAAUUUUUCGCUUCGCGAAAUUGACGGUACCUCUAAAGUAAGGGUCGGCUAACUACGUGCCAGCAGCCGCGGUAAUACGUAGGACCCAAGCGUUGUCCGGAUUUACUGGGUGUAAAGGGAGCGCAGGCGGAUUUUCAAGUCGAUGGUGAAAUCUUGC
This 250-nucleotide ribosomal RNA is filed under the name uncultured bacterium. RNAcentral's name for it is "partial 16S ribosomal RNA". It matches the Rfam family "Bacterial small subunit ribosomal RNA", at positions 355 to 605 of the family's 1533-position model. The record is from RNAcentral.